GGCAAAGUGGCCGAGUGGUUAAGGCGCUGUGUUUAGGUUUAUCUGGGUCGGGUAGUAAUAUAUCUGACCUGCAAACUUGAUUCCGCAGUGGGAAACCGCGCGAGUUCGAAUCUCGUCUUUGUCA
Molecule: non-coding RNA, 124 nt
Organism: Apodospora peruviana
Lineage: Eukaryota; Fungi; Ascomycota; Sordariomycetes; Sordariales; Lasiosphaeriaceae
Source: the annotation of a GenBank genome assembly